UACGAAGGGGGCUAGCGUUGUUCGGAAUUACUGGGCGUAAAGCGCGCGCAGGCGGUCUUCCAAGUCAGUGGUGAAAGCCCGGAGCUCAACUCCGGAAUUGCCAUUGAAACUGUGAGACUGGAGUACGAGAGAGGUGAGUGGAAUUCCCAGUGUAGAGGUGAAAUUCGUAGAUAUUGGGAAGAACACCGGUGGCGAAGGCGGCUCACUGGCUCAUUACUGACGCUCAGGCGCGAUAGCGUGGGGAUCAAACAGG
This 253-nucleotide ribosomal RNA is filed under the name uncultured bacterium. Its description in RNAcentral is "partial 16S ribosomal RNA". It matches the Rfam family "Bacterial small subunit ribosomal RNA", at positions 524 to 776 of the family's 1533-position model. The record is from RNAcentral.